GACGAACGCUGGCGGCGUGCCUAAUACAUGCAAGUCGAGCGAGGAACUUCGGUUUCUAGCGGCGAACGGGUGAGUAACACGUGGGCAACCUGCCCUCAAGCUUGGGAUAACUCCGGGAAACCGGGGCUAACACCAAAUAAUCUUUUCUUUCGCAUGAAAGAGAAGUAAAAGUUUACACUUGAGGAUGGGCCCGCGGUGCAUUAGCUAGUUGGUGGGGUAAUGGCCUACCAAGGCGACGAUGCAUAGCCGACCUGAGAGGGUGACCGGCCACACUGGGACUGAGACACGGCCCAGACUCCUACGGGAGGCAG
This 311-nucleotide ribosomal RNA is filed under the name uncultured Bacillota bacterium. RNAcentral describes it as "bacterial SSU rRNA". It matches the Rfam family "Bacterial small subunit ribosomal RNA", at positions 28 to 351 of the family's 1533-position model. The record is from RNAcentral. Lineage: Bacteria; Bacillati; Bacillota.